This 440-nucleotide ribosomal RNA is filed under the name uncultured bacterium. Its description in RNAcentral is "partial 16S ribosomal RNA". It matches the Rfam family "Bacterial small subunit ribosomal RNA", at positions 338 to 795 of the family's 1533-position model. The record is from RNAcentral.
CCUACGGGUGGCUGCAGUGGGGGAUAUUGCACAAUGGGGGGAACCCUGAUGCAGCGACGCCGCGUGGGUGAAGAAGCGCCUCGGCGCGUAAAGCCCUGUCAGCAGGGAAGAAAAUGACGGUACCUGAAGAAGAAGCCCCGGCUAACUACGUGCCAGCAGCCGCGGGAAGACGUAGGGGGACAGCGUUAUCCGGAUUUACUGGGUGUAAAGGGGGCGCAGACGGGGAUGCAAGCUAGGUGUGAAAGCCCGGGGGCCAACCCCGGGACUGCUCUUGGAACUGCGUGGCUUGAGUGCAGGAGGGGCAUGCGGAAUUCCUGGUGUAGCGGUGAAAUGCGUAGAUAUCAGGAGGAACUCCGGUGGCGAAGGCAGCCUGCUGGAGUGCAACUGACGUUGAGGCCCGAAAGCGUGGGGAGCAAACAGGAUUAGAUACCCUGGUAGUC